AAUAGAUGACGCCGUUGACUUUUUCUCACAUGUUUGACCAUUCGUCUUAUUCAAAAAAUUUGCGUAAUUAUACUUUAUUUUGUUAUGAGUUGUUUUAUUACUCAUAGUAUUGUAAGUGUGAUUUAUAUCUUAUAUAUUUAACAAAAAAAUUGAAUAAGAUGAAUGGUCAAAUAUGUGAGAAAAAGUCAACGGCGUCAUCUAUA
This 203-nucleotide microRNA precursor is filed under the name Oryza barthii. RNAcentral describes it as "MIR812 microRNA precursor family". It matches the Rfam family "MIR812 microRNA precursor family". Lineage: Eukaryota; Viridiplantae; Streptophyta; Magnoliopsida; Poales; Poaceae. The record is from Rfam by way of RNAcentral.